GUACACGCUGUGACUAGCAUAUCAAUAAGCGGAGGAAAAGAAACUAACAAGGAUUCCCCUAGUAACGGCGAGUGAAGCGGGAAGAGCUCAAAUUUGAAAUCUUAAAGGGUUUCCCUUUACGAAUUGUAGUUUAAAGAAGUGUUUUCUGUUGAGGUUUUGGUAAAAGUUCUUUGGAAUAGGACAUCAUAGAGGGUGAGAAUCCCGUAUUUGACCUUUACUUUCAACUUUGUGAUACACUUUCAAAGAGUCGGAUUGUUUGGGAAUGCAGUCCAAAAUGGGUGGUAAAUUUCAUCUAAAGCUAAAUAUUGGCGAGAGACCGAUAGCGAACAAGUACCGUGAGGGAAAGAUGAAAAGAACUUUGAAAAGAGAGUUAAACAGUACGUGAAAUUGUCAAAAGGGAAGCGUUUGACACCAGUGUUGUUUUUCUGAAAAUCAAUUAAAGAACUGUUUAUGCUAAGCUGUUUAGACUUUAUCAGCUAUACUGUUUAGUUUUGAGCUUUUCUUUAAUGCACUUUUCAGUUAACAAGUCAACAUCAAUUUCUUUUGCUGUAAAAAGCUUGAGGAAGGUGGCUUGAGAUUCGUCUUAAGUGUUUAUAGCCUCUUGCCUAUGCAGUCGGAGAGAUUGAGGUCUGCAGCGUAGAUCCUUCGGGGCUAAAUGCAUUUGUGCUAAGUUAUAACAUUUUAUAGACAACUUGUUGACUAUGAUUUGUCUUGUAGCUUACUCGCUUAUGUUAUUUUACCUACGCUUAGGAUGUUGACGCGCGUGUGUGCGUG
Molecule: ribosomal RNA, 774 nt
Filed under: uncultured Neocallimastigales
Lineage: Eukaryota; Fungi; Neocallimastigomycota; Neocallimastigomycetes; Neocallimastigales
Description: partial large subunit ribosomal RNA
Rfam family: Eukaryotic large subunit ribosomal RNA
Source: RNAcentral